RNAcentral lists this small RNA (42 nucleotides) under Arabidopsis thaliana (thale cress). Its description in RNAcentral is "ATSL234370". Lineage: Eukaryota; Viridiplantae; Streptophyta; Magnoliopsida; Brassicales; Brassicaceae. The record is from RNAcentral.
AAAAAAAAAGUAAAAAAAAAAAAACAUAUAUAUAUAUAUAUC